RNAcentral lists this ribosomal RNA (474 nucleotides) under uncultured bacterium. RNAcentral's name for it is "partial 16S ribosomal RNA". It matches the Rfam family "Bacterial small subunit ribosomal RNA", at positions 28 to 507 of the family's 1533-position model. The record is from RNAcentral.
GACGAACGCUGGCGGCGUGCUUAACACAUGCAAGUCGAGCGGUAAGGCUCCUUCGGGAGUACACGAGCGGCGAACGGGUGAGUAACACGUGAGUAAUCUGCCCUUCACUUCGGGAUAACCACCGGAAACGGUGGCUAAUACCGAAUACGACCAGUCUUCGCAUGAGGUGCUGGUGGAAAGUCUUUUCGGUGCAGGAUGUGCUCGCGGCCUAUCAGGUUGUUGGUGGGGUAAUGGCCUACCAAGGCUUCGACGGGUAGCCGGCCUGAGAGGGUGACCGGCCACACUGGGACUGAGACACGGACCAGACUCCUACGGGAGGCAGCAGUGGGGAAUAGUGGACGAUGGGCGAAAGCCUGAUCCAGCAACGCCGCGUGAGGGAUGACGGCCUUCGGGUUGUAAACCUCUUUCAGUACCGACGAAGCGCCCUGUCGGGUGGUGACGGUAGGUACAGAAGAAGGACCGGCCAACUACGUG